Plectropomus leopardus (leopard coralgrouper) is the source of this 281-nucleotide non-coding RNA. The record is from RefSeq and is a predicted model, not a curated record. Lineage: Eukaryota; Metazoa; Chordata; Actinopteri; Perciformes; Serranidae.
GAAACUCUUUGUGUCUGUAGUUCCCAAAUGAAGAAGACACCUUCCAUAAGUUUGUCUCUCCGCACGAGGUGCUUCCCUUCACUGAAGGUGAGAUUCUCUCAAAGGUGAACGUACACUGUCCGGUGUUUGACUACGUCCCACCUGAGCUCAUCACACUGUUCAUCUCCAACAUCGGAGGACACGCACCGUCCUACAUCUACCGACUCAUGAGCGAACUUUACCACCCUGAAGACCACGAGCUUUAACCAGUGUAAUGAAUUAAUAAAUUAAGUGAUGAUUGA